CCCUUGCCAUUAGUUGCUAACAUUAAGUUGAGCACUUUAAUGGGACUGCCGGUGACAAACCGGAGGAAGGUGGGGAUGACGUCAAGUCCUCAUGGCCCUUAUGACCAGGGCUUCACACGUCAUACAAUGGUCGGUACAGAGGGUCGCUAACCCGCGAGGGGGUGCCAAUCUCACAAAACCGAUCGUAGUCCGGAUUGCACUCUGCAACUCGAGUGCAUGAAGUCGGAAUCGCUAGUAAUCGCGGAUCAGCAUGUCGCGGUGAAUACGUU
This 269-nucleotide ribosomal RNA is filed under the name Deefgea rivuli. Its description in RNAcentral is "partial 16S ribosomal RNA". It matches the Rfam family "Bacterial small subunit ribosomal RNA", at positions 1102 to 1372 of the family's 1533-position model. Lineage: Bacteria; Pseudomonadati; Pseudomonadota; Betaproteobacteria; Neisseriales; Chitinibacteraceae. The record is from RNAcentral.